AAACCCAAAGAGGUCAUCCAUCCCUUUUUAAUAUUUAGCCACAUCAGUGACAAUAGCCUACACACCGCCGCGCGCGUGACAUCAUCGCCUUAUUGAUAGGGGCUUUUGCAUCUAAGCGGCUACAUUUAAAGCUCCGUGACCUGUUUUGUUUCUGAAUUAACAAUUUCACCGCUUAUAGAGAGACCCGCUCAUCUAGUGGUGUAGGAUGAAUUCAGUUAACAACCGUCAAUAAAAUACCAUAAAGACGCGGCAGUUGUGUGUUUUCUGUGGGACUGCCAGUGAGCUAAGUUUUCACAAUGUUGUCGACACAACAAAAAUGUUUUGUGAGAGAAAGGUGAGAGAAGCGCAAGGAGAAAAGUGGAAGCCGGUCGGCUGUGCGGAUUUCAUGCGAUAGAAGGGGGGAAACUCCAGCGGCCAGCUCUCUCCCUCCACACCGCGAUCAGAGCACUGCAACGCACACAGCGGGCAGCAUGCCGACUCCCACUCUCUCCUCACUCUCUCACACAACACGCCUGUCGGGCUUUUUCCCGGAGAAAAAAUUGCAUUUCCCCCUUGGUUCUGGAAGUAUUCGCACGAUCAAGCAAGGUACCCAGGUAAUUACCGUACAUUGUCAAAUAAAGGCACAAUAAAGGGACUACUGAUUCAAAUGAGGAGUGAAAUAUCAAAGAAAAGGGUUCCCUUUGCAGCCAGGCACUUAUCCACACAGGAGACAGCAAUGAGACGACUGCCACAGGGACACUCACACAGCCUCUGAUAACAACAUGCUCAGACUCCUUGCUACAUAUAUUUCACACCACAAUAUUUUGCACACAGAAGCAUUGCACCACACUUACAUAGUCUCAGAGUUUCACCUCAGCUUGUAUACAGCAUUGUGAUAUCACUGAUGACUGAAAUGUAUUUUAAUAUCAUUAAAAUGCUGCUAAAAUAGUACUUAAAGCAAAGACAUAAUCUGUGUUCCAAUUAAAUAGCAAUGUGUUGUAAUUGUUAAAAUCGGUCACAUUAUCAGAUGAAGAUAUCUACAGAAAAGCACCAGGCUUUAAAAAACUAUUAUACUGCAAUUAAAGUGACUAUAUAGCAUUAGGCAAAAUGUUAAGGAUAUUGCACCCUUCAUAAAUGCUUUAUUUCCUCCAUUAAUAGUUUUCUCUCUGAUAUCUCAUGAUGUGAUACAAAAUAUACUCUUGAAGAAACUGGACUUCCCCUCAAAGAUCUGCUUCUUUGGAGAAAAAUUGAACGUACGUCAUUAUUUCCUCUAUUUUUAUUUUGAAUAUUUACUUAGAUGCAGCUGUAUAAUAUAUAACUUGCUUGAUCUUGUUGAUCUUAUGAUAAGAUCUAAAAUAAUGAUGCAAUGAAAGAAAUACAUUUGGGGCUGGUGUGUGAAAUGGUUGGAGGCAAAAUCUGGCCUCCAAGAAUGUGUGAGAGUUUAACAUUAUAAAUACACUUUCCCUCCCUCUAGCUUACAGACAGCUCCAAGGACUAUUUUACAUGUAAAUAUUCACUCAGAAAAAAAGCCAGAUCAUUAAUUAUUGAGAGCCAUAAAGAAGUGUAAUACUUCAGUGUUAAACACAUGCAUCUGAUAUCUCAUUAGAUGAGGUUGAGGAUGAACUCGAAGGAAGAAAUCUAUUCUUCAAGUAGUCCGGGAAUUAGCUUAGAGGAUACAAAAUGGUGGAUAUUCAGUGGAGUAUCAUUUUGCCUUUCUGGUACUGAGUCACAGAUCAGGUUUAGUGCUAGACUAAAGCUAAUUUUUUAAUUAGGAACACACUUUAACAGCAGUCUAAUAUAGGCUAUAGGUUGUGUUUGUUUGUUUUUUUUUUCUUCUUUUUUGUCCCCCAUAUUUACUUAAGAUAGAUUUUAAAAAAUGUUUUCCAUCUGCAAAGAUAUGACGAUGAUGAUAUUGAUGAUGAUAGUAUCCUAAAAAUAUCUUUUCUAUAUAUUCAUUCUUCUGAAAAUAUGGCUUUCCCUGAUCUAUAAUCAAAUAUUUUUUCCCAUCACCCCCCCCCCAAAAGCAUCACAAUACAAAAAUCAUUAUUAAAAGAAACAUUACAAGACCUGUUCUGUUCUCUCUACUAGCUAAUCUUACUACUGUGCAUUCACUGAUUAUAGCAAAUGAAAGCAAAUUUUUUUUUUAAUGUGUAGCUGUUAAUGUUGGAGUUAAAGAUAUGACAAGAGUUAUUACAUGAAUAAAACAUUCCUUCGGAGAUGAGCUGACUGAGAUGAUAUUGAAUAUUCAGAGACAGAAGCCUGCCACUGACGUCUAUAUGAAUCUACAGACUAUAUGAAUCUAUAUGGCCGGGAGACUUGAUAAUCUUUCAUACUUUUCAAAAGUUGAAAGUUUUAAAGAACUUUCCCCAUGUAUGGCCAGCUAGGCUGCAUUCUGGCACCCAUCUUCUCUCUUACAUUAUGGCCUGUGGCUGAGCUCUUGACAGGUUGUCACAAGGUGAUAGGACUCAAGUGGAGACACUAGAAAGGUGGCACUUAAGAGCACAAGGAGUUUGACUUCCGGGUGUGCCAUGGAGCCUGACAGUGGAUCAGCCCUUGAAGGAGUGCACUCACGCACCGGAGUGAUUGGAAUGUCCCGUAAAUGAGAGCUGUGCUUUAGAUGUAACAAUGCCGACAUACGAAAGAACUGGCAAGAACUAAGAAAUGUGGAAUCUCAUGCAAAAAAUAUUCCCCUGAAGUGUUUGCUUUUUUCCCCCCUCUCUACCUCCCUUUUUUUAACCAAGUUAGUGAAUGCAAAGUUUCUGAGAGUGUUGAUCCAGGUAGGCUCACGAUCUAAACGUGUAUUAUUGUUAUUAUAAAUGAUUGUUCUGGGCACAAGUACAUAUAUGUUUACAAUAAAAUAAAUGAUAUUUAUGUAUUUAA
Long non-coding RNA from Hemibagrus wyckioides, 2859 nucleotides. RefSeq lists it as uncharacterized. Lineage: Eukaryota; Metazoa; Chordata; Actinopteri; Siluriformes; Bagridae. The transcript is spliced from 2 exons. The record is from RefSeq and is a predicted model, not a curated record.